RNAcentral lists this long non-coding RNA (1139 nucleotides) under Olea europaea subsp. europaea. The record is from RNAcentral. Lineage: Eukaryota; Viridiplantae; Streptophyta; Magnoliopsida; Lamiales; Oleaceae.
GUAGAUAGCACCAAUCAUUCAACAGUAAAUGAAUCUCAUAUUACUGUACAAAAUGCAAAAUGAUUUUUUUUUUUUUUUUGGUCUUCUUUAUUUCCAUCACACUUCACCUCUUCUUUACGCAACCAUCCAUAUCAAUCAUUUUUUUCUGUCUUUCUCCAUUUCUCAAAGCAACCUCUCAUGCUUCUUUCCUUCAUUCUCCCAUUUCUUCUUUUCUUUUCUUUUGUUUCGUUUUCCAAAUAUUUUGUCUAUAUGGUGUUAAUUUCAUCUUCUCAGUGCUUAAAAUUCUAAAGUACAUUCUAGAAGUUCUAACCCUCUAUUUUAUUUUUCUUUUAUAGAGACUUGAAGCUUCCAUCAAAGAACAAUCGAAAGAAUUAUUGAAACAAGGUCUUUUGUAAGCAUAUAUAGAUUUUUGUUAUGAAUUGAAUGUAUGUUGGUUUGAUUUUACUGUGUGGUUUUACUUCGAUUUUUUUAGAAGGGUAUUAUCAUUCCGUUUUAAUUGUUCCCAAAUGAUUAAGAAUUUUAUUUUAUUUUACGAGGCAAGCCAGAAAUUAUGGCAAAAGAUGAAGUGGUUCUAAUGAAUCACUUGGGUUAGAAAAAGCCCACGUCUUCAGUCAUUCAAGUUUGGUGAGUUCUGAUCUUGAAUUUUUAAUGAUAUUUCAUUUUUUGAUUUUCAUUUCUGUUGUUGAAAGAUAAAUAGCGUAGAUUUCUUAUUUGUCUGUGAUUAUAUAGCUGUUUUAGCUCAUUCAUGUUAUCUCUUCAAGUUGGUUAGGCAAAUAAGGUGAAGAAAACCAGAGAAUAAAAAAAAAUGAUUUUGGUUUUUCCAUAUUCUUGAAGCAGCCAAUUAUUUGAGUAUGUAUGCAAAUGUAUUUUAGUCGAUUGUUUACUAUUAUUUUAUUAUUAUCGUAUGCCAUAAUGUGGAGAAAGUAUAAAUUUAAAGAAGAGAAAAAACAACAACAUUUGCUCCGCACAAAAUGUGCGGAGUUGCUCCACAGUAUUUUUUUUUUAGCAAUUUUUUUAAAAGUAGAAAUAAGAGAUUUUCUAUUAAGUGAUCAUCAAAUUUGUUGAAUCCUAGAAAUUAGAUUUCUCUUUAAUUUCCUAAUUUUAUGAAAUUUUUAAAUUAAGUUGUUUACGAAUGUUUU